Molecule: ribosomal RNA, 253 nt
Filed under: uncultured bacterium
Lineage: Bacteria
Description: partial 16S ribosomal RNA
Rfam family: Bacterial small subunit ribosomal RNA
Source: RNAcentral
UACGGAGGGUGCGAGCGUUGUCCGGAAUCACUGGGCGUAAAGGGCGCGUAGGCGGCCGGAGAAGUCGGUGGUGAAAGCUCGGGGCUCAACUCCGAGUCGGCCACCGAUACUGUUCGGCUCGAGUUUGGUAGAGGCAGAUGGAAUUCCGGGUGUAGCGGUGGAAUGCGUAGAGAUCCGGAAGAACACCGGUGGCGAAGGCGGUCUGCUGGGCAGCUGCUGACGCUGAUGCGCGACAGCGUGGGGAGCAAACAGG